GACGAACGCUGGCGGCGUGCUUAACACAUGCAAGUCGAACGGAAAGGCCUCUUUCGGGGGGUACUCGAGUGGCGAACGGGUGAGUAACACGCGAGUAACCUGCCCUUGACUUUGGGAUAACUUCAGGAAACUGGGGCUAAUACCGGAUAGGAGCUCCUGCUGCAUGGUGGGGGUUGGAAAGUUUCGGCGGUUGGGGAUGGACUCGCGGCUUAUCAGCUUGUUGGUGGGGUAGUGGCUUACCAAGGCUUUGUCGGGUAGCCGGCCUGGGAGGGUGACCGGCCACAUUGGGACUGGGAUACGGCCCAGACUCCUACGGGAGGCAGCAGUGGGGAAUAUUGCACAAUGGGUGGGAGCCUGAUGCAGCAACGCCGUGUGCGGGAUGACGGCCUUCGGGUUGUAAACCGCUUUCGCUCAUGACGAAGCUUUGUGUGACGGUAGUGGGUAAAGAAGCACCGGCUAACUACGUG
This 467-nucleotide ribosomal RNA is filed under the name uncultured bacterium. RNAcentral describes it as "partial 16S ribosomal RNA". It matches the Rfam family "Bacterial small subunit ribosomal RNA", at positions 28 to 507 of the family's 1533-position model. The record is from RNAcentral.